RNAcentral lists this ribosomal RNA (448 nucleotides) under uncultured bacterium. RNAcentral's name for it is "SSU rRNA". It matches the Rfam family "Bacterial small subunit ribosomal RNA", at positions 26 to 518 of the family's 1533-position model. The record is from RNAcentral.
AGAGCGAACGCUGGCGGCAGGCCUAAUACAUGCAAGUCGAGCGGUCGUAGCAAUACGGCAGCGGCAGACGGGAGAGUAACACGUGGGAACGUACCUUUUGGUUCGGAACAACCCAGGGAAACUUGGGCUAAUACCGGAUAAGCCCUUACGGGGAAAGAUUUAUCGCCAAAAGAUCGGCCCGCGUCUGAUUAGCUAGUUGGUGGGGUAACGGCCCACCAAGGCGACGAUCAGUAGCUGGUCUGAGAGGAUGAUCAGCCACAUUGGGACUGAGACACGGCCCAAACUCCUACGGGAGGCAGCAGUGGGGAAUAUUGGACAAUGGGCGCAAGCCUGAUCCAGCCAUGCCGCGUGAGUGAUGAAGGCCCUAGGGUUGUAAAGCUCUUUUGUGCGGGAAGAUAAUGACGGUACCGCAAGAAUAAGCCCCGGCUAACUUCGUGCCAGCAGCCGC